GAUGAACGCUGGCGGCGUGCCUAAUACAUGCAAGUCGCGCGAACGGACGAGAAGCUUGCUUCUCUGAUGUUAGCGGCGGACGGGUGAGUAACACGUGGAUAACCUACCUAUAAGACUGGGAUAACUUCGGGAAACCGGAGCUAAUACCGGAUAAUAUUUUGAACCGCAUGGUUCAAAAGUGAAAGACGGUCUUGCUGUCACUUAUAGAUGGAUCCGCGCUGCAUUAGCUAGUUGGUAAGGUAACGGCUUACCAAGGCAACGAUGCAUAGCCGACCUGAGAGGGUGACCAGCCACACUAGAACUGAGACACGGUCCAGACUCCUACGGAAGGCAGCAGUAGGGAAUCUUCCGCAAUGGGCGAAAGCCUGACGGAGCAACGCCGCGUGAGUGAUGAAGGUCUUCGGAUCGUAAAACACUGUUAUUAGGGAAGAACAUAUGUGUAAGUAACUGUGCACAUCUUGACGGUACCUAAUCAGAAAGCCACGGCUAACUACGUG
This 497-nucleotide ribosomal RNA is filed under the name uncultured bacterium. Its description in RNAcentral is "partial 16S ribosomal RNA". It matches the Rfam family "Bacterial small subunit ribosomal RNA", at positions 28 to 507 of the family's 1533-position model. The record is from RNAcentral.